RNAcentral lists this ribosomal RNA (447 nucleotides) under Actinomyces sp. oral taxon 171. Its description in RNAcentral is "bacterial SSU rRNA". It matches the Rfam family "Bacterial small subunit ribosomal RNA", at positions 391 to 833 of the family's 1533-position model. Lineage: Bacteria; Bacillati; Actinomycetota; Actinomycetes; Actinomycetales; Actinomycetaceae. The record is from RNAcentral.
GCGACGCCGCGUGAGGGAUGGAGGCCUUCGGGUUGUAAACCUCUUUCGCCAGUGAAGCAGGCCUGUCCCUUUUGUGGGUGGGUUGACGGUAGCUGGAUAAGAAGCGCCGGCUAACUACGUGCCAGCAGCCGCGGUAAUACGUGGGGCGCGAGCGUUGUCCGGAAUUAUUGGGCGUAAAGAGCUCGUAGGCGGCUGGUCGCGUCUGUCGUGAAAUCCUCUGGCUUAACUGGGGGCUUGCGGUGGGUACGGGCCGGCUUGAGUGCGGUAGGGGAGACUGGAACUCCUGGUGUAGCGGUGGAAUGCGCAGAUAUCAGGAAGAACACCGGUGGCGAAGGCGGGUCUCUGGGCCGUUACUGACGCUGAGGAGCGAAAGCGUGGGGAGCGAACAGGAUUAGAUACCCUGGUAGUCCACGCCGUAAACGUUGGGCACUAGGUGCGGGGGCCUUU